GACGAACGCUGGCGGCGUGCUUAACACAUGCAAGUCGAACGGAAAGGCCCUGCUUGCAGGGUACUCGAGUGGCGAACGGGUGAGUAACACGUGGGUUAUCUGCCCUGCACUUCGGGAUAAGCCUGGGAAACUGGGUCUAAUACCGGAUAGGAGCCAUUUUUAGUGUGAUGGUUGGAAAGUUUUUUCGGUGUAGGAUGAGCUCGCGGCCUAUCAACUUGUUGGUGGGGUAAUGGCCUACCAAGGCGGCGACGGGUAGCCGGCCUGAGAGGGUGGACAGCCACAUUGGGACUGAGAUACGGCCCAGACUCCUACGGGAGGCAGCAGUGGGGAAUAUUGCACAAUGGGCGCAAGCCUGAUGCAGCGACGCCGCGUGGGGGAUGACGGCCUUCGGGUUGUAAACUCCUUUCGCUAGGGACGAAGCUUUUUGUGACGGUACCUAGAUAAGAAGCACCGGCUAACUACGUG
Molecule: ribosomal RNA, 465 nt
Filed under: uncultured bacterium
Lineage: Bacteria
Description: partial 16S ribosomal RNA
Rfam family: Bacterial small subunit ribosomal RNA
Source: RNAcentral